Molecule: ribosomal RNA, 1047 nt
Filed under: Triticum aestivum (bread wheat)
Lineage: Eukaryota; Viridiplantae; Streptophyta; Magnoliopsida; Poales; Poaceae
Description: partial small subunit ribosomal RNA
Source: RNAcentral
AUGUACAUGUCUGUCAAAAUUGGGCAGAGGACGACUCUGCCUGCUCCUGCCUGCGCCGUGCGUGCCAAUGGUAGUGUCAAUGGCAUUGCGGCGGCUACGUCAGAACUCGCGGGGGUCGACGAAGAGCACGCUGCCCGGCGGCGCCGACGCCGGCCAGUCGGAGGCGGCAUUGCUGUCGGAGAGGUUCUUGAUGCACCAGACGUCCUCGUCGUAGGAGAAGCGGUGCCAGCUUGGGAUGGCGGCGGCGGCCGGGUCGUCGGGGCUGAGGUCGGCGGCGACGACGCCGCAGGCUGGGUUGUUGCGGGCCAUGUUGUGGGCGUGGCUGCAGAGCGUGCGGAGCAGGGCCGGGCCCUCCGGCCCGGACAUGCGGACUCCGUAGAUGAGGUAGGCGCCGAAGGGGCGGAAGAUGUCCGGCACGGAGGGCACGCGCAGCCACGGCGCGGCGCGGUCCAGCGCCCGGACCGCGGCGAGCGAGUGCCGGAGCAGCGCCGGCGCGCCGUCCACGCGCAGGCGGAGCGACCGGGUCUGGUCCCAGACGCUCAGCACGGCGAACGACGGCGACGGCGCGUUUGCCGUGGUGUGGCCGUCGGAGCUCUCGAUGGCCACGAAGGUGCCGAGGGUGAGCUUGUGGGCGAGGAGCGCCGGCAGGUCGGCGGGGAGGAACUCGGUGUCCCGCGCCGGGAGGAGCCGCGCGUAGGCCGCGGCCGCCAGCGUGGGCGUCAGCUGGAGCACGCGGUGGCGGCUCGUGACCGGCAGCCACCGCGCGUGCACGGGCCGGCCCAGGAGCACCGGCCGCCGGAACGGCACGUACCCGAACCGGCCGGCGAAGAGCGCCAGCGACGCCUUGUUGGACUCCGUGGUCGCCAUGGUCGCGUGCGCCGCGCCCCGCUUACGGCUCCACUCCUCCGCCGCCUUCACCAGCGCCGUCGCGAUCCCCAGCCGCCUAUAACACAACGGAAAAAGCACAGCCGCCGUCAGCACGCCAUUGCUCAAAAGAAGAAACUUGUACCAGUCGCGAUUAGGCAAGAAGGGAAAGCGCACUCGUAA